This 253-nucleotide ribosomal RNA is filed under the name uncultured bacterium. RNAcentral's name for it is "partial 16S ribosomal RNA". It matches the Rfam family "Bacterial small subunit ribosomal RNA", at positions 524 to 776 of the family's 1533-position model. The record is from RNAcentral.
UACGGAGGGGGCGAGCGUUAUUCGGAAUUAUUGGGCGUAAAGGGCGCGUAGGCGGCUUGAUGUGUCAAAGGUGAGAUCCCUCGGCUCAACUGAGGAACUGCCUUUGAAACUGUCUGGCUUGAGGCCGGGAGAGGGUAGCGGAAUUCCCAGUGUAGCGGUGAAAUGCGUAGAUACUGGGAGGAACACCGGUGGCGAAGGCGGCUACCUGGACCGGUUCUGACGCUGUUGCGCGAAAGCGUGGGUAGCAAACAGG